This 200-nucleotide long non-coding RNA is filed under the name Elaeis guineensis (African oil palm). Its description in RNAcentral is "long non-coding RNA (EGUI_LNC001461)". Lineage: Eukaryota; Viridiplantae; Streptophyta; Magnoliopsida; Arecales; Arecaceae. The record is from RNAcentral.
UGAUAGACUGGACCAAAGAAAGAAAGAAAGUUGAGGAGAACCCGCAAAGUGACUCAUCUUAGUGCCUCUCAAUGAGGAGGAUCCGACCAGAAUUGUUCAGGUCGGAUCAUCCUUAAGUGAUGAACUGAGGGAGAAGCUGACUUUCUAAGGAAGAAUGCAGAUGUCUUUGCCUGGUCUGCCUCAGACAUGUCGGACAUCCC